Molecule: long non-coding RNA, 497 nt
Organism: Helianthus annuus (common sunflower)
Lineage: Eukaryota; Viridiplantae; Streptophyta; Magnoliopsida; Asterales; Asteraceae
Exons: 3
Source: RefSeq, a predicted model, not a curated record
UUGUAAUAUUUCAUAUAGAGUUUUUCAUGAGAGUUUACCCCCUGGUUUGGCCCAGGGGGUGACAUUUAGAUUCGAGUUUAUUCUCGGAUCGACCCCUUCUUCUUUGAUUAAUAAGAAUUAAUUAUUGAAGAUAUAUCGCUCUCACUGUCUAUAUUUUUUUACUCUUUUGAAUAUUUAUAUACUUCACAAACAUCCGUCUCAACGAGCAAAGAAAGUUGCACCGUUCUAACAGGGCCGCCAAAGGGGACCAAAAAUUGUCAAACAUAGGCCAUGCUUGGCUAAAUUCUUACAUCACUUGGUGAAGACGUAUUUCUUUUAUGAUUUCCAAACUCUGGCUACUUUUUAAUUGGUUACGACGCGAACCCAGAAGAUACCGGUGAAGUUUAAGAUGCUUGAAGACGCAAAACUGAAAUUAGUGGAAGCUUUGCGGGUUUACGUUUCAAGAAGUCAUGUGUCUGCACUCCAUUGCCACUUUUGUAGGAUUUAUUAUCAUAUCC